UGGGGAAUAUUGCACAAUGGGGGAAACCCUGAUGCAGCGACGCCGCGUGAGCGAAGAAGUAUCUCGGUAUGUAAAGCUCUAUCAGCAGGGAAGAAAAUGACGGUACCUGACUAAGAAGCCCCGGCUAACUACGUGCCAGCAGCCGCGGUAAUACGUAGGGGGCAAGCGUUAUCCGGAUUUACUGGGUGUAAAGGGAGCGUAGACGGCAAUGCAAGUCUGAAGUGAAAGGACGGGGCUUAACCCUGUGACUGCUUUGGAAACUGUGUAGCUUGAGUGCCGGAGGGGUAAGCGGAAUUCCUAGUGUAGCGGUGAAAUGCGUAGAUAUUAGGAGGAACACCAGUGGCGAAGGCGGCUUACUGGACGGUAACUGACGUUGAGGCUCGAAAGCGUGGGGAGCAAACAGG
RNAcentral lists this ribosomal RNA (404 nucleotides) under uncultured Lachnospiraceae bacterium. RNAcentral's name for it is "bacterial SSU rRNA". It matches the Rfam family "Bacterial small subunit ribosomal RNA", at positions 355 to 776 of the family's 1533-position model. The record is from RNAcentral. Lineage: Bacteria; Bacillati; Bacillota; Clostridia; Lachnospirales; Lachnospiraceae. RNAcentral also lists the same sequence under 1 other name.